GCCUCACUUCUCCGAGACUGCAGCUCAAGAUGACCAGGGGAAUGAUGCCUGUGUGACUUCUGGUUCACCUCCUGUCCCUGACUCAGUUACUAAAGGUUUACGUGUUUCAUCAAGGCGGUGUGUGAAGAGACCAUGGUCUGAGGAGGAGAUAGGAGCGGUGAUGAAACAUAUGAAGCCUUUUAUUGAAAACGGUAUCACUGUCACCAACCAGCAGUGUCUGAAGUGCAAAGAAAAGGAACAACCUAUCUUGGAGACGAGAUCUAUUCAAAACAUUUGAGAUUUUGUGCGCAACAGAGGACUGGCCUUUAAAAAAAAAAAAAAAAAAAUGUUAAACACUAAAUGCACUUUUUGACAGUCUGAGCCUUUACCUUUCUGGGCCUGAUUUCAAGGUUAGUGUUCUCCAUUCAAAAAGUAUGUAGUUGACUUCACUGUGCUCACAGGCAGUGUUUUGUUUUGAUGUGUGGUUAGCCUGAGUCUUUUAAUGCCAGGAUUCACUUUUAUUUUCCUUCAAUAAUUGUUACAAUGCUGUCCUUUUAAGGAAUUGAUUAUUGAGUUGGUUAUAUUAAAUAUAAUUCAGUAAUUCAACAAAUGUGUUGUGUGUUGAUAUAAGUCUUAUGUAUAAGUCAUGGUGUCAGCCCGACUCACCCCUGGUGUGCAAAGGUGCUGUUUUAUUGGUAAGCCACUCAGUGCCAGUUUCUU
Molecule: long non-coding RNA, 699 nt
Organism: Astatotilapia calliptera (eastern happy)
Lineage: Eukaryota; Metazoa; Chordata; Actinopteri; Cichliformes; Cichlidae
Source: Ensembl